This 519-nucleotide ribosomal RNA is filed under the name uncultured bacterium. Its description in RNAcentral is "partial 16S ribosomal RNA". It matches the Rfam family "Bacterial small subunit ribosomal RNA", at positions 355 to 866 of the family's 1533-position model. The record is from RNAcentral.
UGGGGAAUUUUGGACAAUGGGCGCAAGCCUGAUCCAGCAAUGCCGCGUGCAGGAUGAAGGCCUUCGGGUUGUAAACUACUUUUGUACGGAACGAAAAGCCUCUCUCUAAUACAGGGGGGUGAUGACGGUACCGUAAGAAUAAGCACCGGCUAACUACGUGCCAGCAGCCGCGGUAAUACGUAGGGUGCAAGCGUUAAUCGGAAUUACUGGGCGUAAAGCGUGCGCAGGCGGUUUUGUAAGACAGUGGUGAAAUCCCCGGGCUCAACCUGGGAACUGCCAUUGUGACUGCAAGGCUGGAGUGCGGCAGAGGGGGGAUGGAAUUCCGCGUGUAGCAGUGAAAUGCGUAGAUAUGCGGAGGAACACCGAUGGCGAAGGCAAUCCCCUGGGCCUGCACUGACGCUCAUGCACGAAAGCGUGGGGAGCAAACAGGAUUAGAUACCCUGGUAGUCCACGCCCUAAACGAUGUCAACUGGUUGUUGGGGAUUUAUUUCUUCAGUAACGAAGCUAACGCGUGAAGUU